UUUCAGACCCCGCUAGAGAAUUUUAUUUUUUUACAAGAAGCGACUAGCGAAAAAAUUUAGCGAGUUUUCCCGGCGACGUCGGCGACUUUUGGAGAGUUUUUUGUUAACCUGAAAUCCUCCGCUAUCACUGUGUUUUGUGUACAUACCGCCUUCUACUGCGCCCGUUCGUGCGCUUUGGCAUCGCCCGGACCCCCAAGAGUACCUGACUGUUGGUUUGUACCAUAGCAAAGCAUUUCGGGGCGGACCCGCCCUCAAGUUAGCCGAUCCGUUCAGGCUGUUCCUCAGUUCUGGCCCUCCGGAGAGGACCCGGCCCGCCCACGGACAGCGGCUCUCACACAGAAAGCAGGAAGUGGACGGCAGCGCUUCUCUACGAUGCAGAGUCGUGUUUCCCAGGCUGCCCCUGAACACAUCCUAAAGCCUGCAGCAGACAGAUGGAGGUGUGCUGCUGACCCUGUGCAAGAAGAUGCUGUUACUGCUGCUCCACAGACACACAGAUUUGGAUGGAGGACUUUAUGGAGCCAGAGCUUUUUAUUAGACAUGUGACACUGUGACAUUUCCUAAAAACUGGACUCACAGAUGAAGCAGAGAUUCAAGUCCAGAGAUGCAAACAGAAGGUGAAGCAGUUUCUUACUCGCAGGUUUACCAAAAGAAGCAUCACCAUCCGAGAGGACAAUUACUUUCCCACACAGGGCCAAGUAGGUCGGUGAGGUGUGGGCCGAGAUCAGCAGGGAACUGAGUGUGGACGGCGUGAGGCCAGUUAGCCCCGAUCGGGAGGCUCUGAGCAACAUCUGUAAGACUGCAGAGGACACCGCAAGGAGGCUCAUGGAGGAACAAAACAGCAUCCUGGAGCAUCAGGAGGAGGACGUCAGCGAGGAGGAGCUCACAUACACAGAGAUGAAGUCUCGCUGGAAGCAAAAGGAGUUCAUUGCCAAAUCAUGGGAAGAUUACGUUUCCAGGACUUCAAACUAUGAGACCUUAAAGGAAGUAAAAGCACAGAGGGAAAAGGACGCUGAAUCAUCCAGAGCUAAACCAAAGGACGAGGGCGCUGCUCUUCAUCCUGCAGAGCAUUUCAUCGGGCACGUGAUUGCAGUAGAGAGCACAGGCGCUCAGGGUCCCGCAGGAGUGAAG
Molecule: long non-coding RNA, 1128 nt
Organism: Archocentrus centrarchus (flier cichlid)
Lineage: Eukaryota; Metazoa; Chordata; Actinopteri; Cichliformes; Cichlidae
Exons: 8
Source: RefSeq, a predicted model, not a curated record